This 462-nucleotide long non-coding RNA is filed under the name Cyanistes caeruleus (blue tit). RNAcentral describes it as "lncRNA (ENSCCEG00000020448.1)". Lineage: Eukaryota; Metazoa; Chordata; Aves; Passeriformes; Paridae. The record is from RNAcentral.
AUGCCCCUCCUUCCCCCAGCACAAAAAUUAAACAUUGUUCCUGUAGCUUUGCCAGUCCUUUCUUUUUCAGACUAUACAUAUGGUAUCACUAAAAAAAGCUCUCGAAUCAUGCAGUUAAACUCAGACACAGUGUGCAAUUUUGUGUGUCCAACAUUCAUUUCUCUGACAAAACACUGGAAGGCAAACCAGGAGUUUUCUUCCAUCCUCUCACCUCGGCCUCUUUGGCACACUGCAGAGAAAAAACCUGGAGGCAUCAUAGUUGCUGAACAGCUUGAGAGCUUGAGCUCGUGUGUCCCGGUGGCUUCUGAAUGGGCACAGGGCCUAUUGUCCAGGAACAGAAGCUGGGAAAUAUUUUGGUUGCCUGUUUCUCUGUUGCUGGUACUGCUGCUCCACACUCAGACAGAAGCUGAGAUGCAGGGUGGCUGCAGAGAAAGAGGAGUGUCUCUCACUGACCAAAGCUGA